Bos taurus (domestic cattle) is the source of this 72-nucleotide non-coding RNA. NCBI's taxonomy places the organism in Eukaryota, Metazoa, Chordata, Mammalia, Artiodactyla, Bovidae. The record is from Rfam.
UCCCUGGUGGCUCAGAGGAUAAAGCAUCUGCUUGCAAUGCAGGAGACCCAGGUUCGAUCCCUGGGUUGGGAA